Molecule: ribosomal RNA, 468 nt
Filed under: uncultured bacterium
Lineage: Bacteria
Description: partial 16S ribosomal RNA
Rfam family: Bacterial small subunit ribosomal RNA
Source: RNAcentral
GACGAACGCUGGCGGCGUGCUUAACACAUGCAAGUCGAACGGAAAGGCCCUGCUUUUGUUGGGUGCUCGAGUGGCGAACGGGUGAGUAACACGUGAGUAACCUGCCCUUGACUUUGGGAUAACUUCAGGAAACUGGGGCUAAUACCGGAUAGGAGCUCCUGCUGCAUGGUGGGGGUUGGAAAGUUUCGGCGGUUGGGGAUGGACUCGCGGCUUAUCAGCUUGUUGGUGUGGUAGUGGCUUACCAAGGCUUUGACGGGUAGCCGGCCUGAGAGGGUGACCGGCCACAUUGGGACUGAGAUACGGCCCAGACUCCUACGGGAGGCAGCAGUGGGGAAUAUUGCACAAUGGGCGGAAGCCUGAUGCAGCAACGCCGCGUGCGGGAUGACGGCCUUCGGGUUGUAAACCGCUUUCGCCUGUGACGAAGCGUGAGUGACGGUAAUGGGUAAAGAAGCACCGGCUAACUACGUG